Long non-coding RNA from Vidua chalybeata, 875 nucleotides. RefSeq lists it as uncharacterized. Lineage: Eukaryota; Metazoa; Chordata; Aves; Passeriformes; Viduidae. The record is from RefSeq and is a predicted model, not a curated record. The transcript is spliced from 7 exons.
UUUCUGCACUUGUACCUGCCUGCAGAAUCUGCAUGGCUGGUGUUUCAGAUGAGGCUGGCUUGGCUGCAUUUUGGAUGGUGAUUUAAAGUGCUUCAUUGCCACUGAGUCAUCGCUGUGCUUAGACGAAUCGAUUAUGACUGCAUCGGGAUCCUCCUGGGCAACCCUGAAGUCAGAAGGCUCCAGUGCAGGAUGACUCCAGAAUACAUACUCUUUGGAAGAAACACAUUAUUUGACAUCAGAAAAUGCGAGUCUAUGUGCUUUGGAAAUAGUACACCUUACUUUUCCCAUGUUCAAGUUUAUUGUGUGUCAGGCUAAUCUUGUGCUGCUACUGCAAUGGACUUCUAAAACUCCCUUUCAACCCUGUGCUGCCAUUUGACACCCAAGAAGAGCAGAGAGAAUAAUUUCACUAAAUCAUUACUAGUAAGGGAAUCAAAGACAUGGAUGAAAGUAGAAAUCAAUCUUACAUGAGAAAAAAGAGUAGGAACAUUACAUGUUCUGCAAGCCAGCAGUUCUCAGGCUCAAAGGGAAGUCUAGCAAGCAUAACAGAUUGAGUUGUCUGGAAAAGUCAAUGGAAAAGAAAAGAAAAUCCUCUCUCUCUUCCUUGCCAAAGCCUAUUGCCUAAACCAAGUGGUAUAUAACAUUUGAAGUCAAAGUACAUCAGAAGACCAAAAGCAUUUUAUUUCUUGGAAGAUGCAUGCAUUGACAGCAUCACCUUUCCUGUUCUAGUGAAAUGCAACCAAAUAGCUCCUGAAUGGGUUCCUGACCUUUGUCAUGAUAUCAUCAGUGGGAACUAUAGCUGGCUUGUCAGCUGAUUUGGUUAUGAUUUGAAAAGAGAAAUAAAUAUAGUCCUAAAAAUGGAUAUGCACCAACCAGAG